This 440-nucleotide ribosomal RNA is filed under the name uncultured bacterium. RNAcentral's name for it is "partial 16S ribosomal RNA". It matches the Rfam family "Bacterial small subunit ribosomal RNA", at positions 338 to 795 of the family's 1533-position model. The record is from RNAcentral.
CCUACGGGAGGCAGCAGUAGGGAAUAUUGCUCAAUGGGGGAAACCCUGAAGCAGCAACGCCGCGUGGAGGACGAAGGUUUUCGGAUUGUAAACUCCUUUUGUUAGAGAAGAUAAUGACGGUAUCUAACGAAUAAGCACCGGCUAACUCCGUACCAGCAGCCGCGGCAAGACGGAGGGUGCAAGCGUUACUCGGAAGCACUGGGCGUAAAGAGGGCGUAGGCUGGUUAGCAAGUCAGAUGUGAAAUCCUAUGGCUUAACCAGAGAACUGCAUUUGAAACUGUUAGUCUAGAGUAUAGGAGAGGUAGGUGGAAUUCUUGGUGUAGGGGUAGAAUCCGUAGAGAUCAAGAGGAAUACUCAUUGCGAAGGCGACCUGCUAGAACAUAACUGACGCUGAGGAGCGAAAGCGUGGGUAGCAAACAGGAUUAGAUACCCUGGUAGUC